AACGAACGCUGGCGGCAGGCUUAACACAUGCAAGUCGAGCGCCCCGCCAGGGGUGCGGCAGACGGGUGAGUAACGCGUGGGAACGUACCUUUUGGUUCGGAACAACUCCGGGAAACUGGAGCUAAUACCGGAUAAGCCCUAACGGGGAAAGAUUUAUCGCCGAAAGAUCGGCCCGCGUCUGAUUAGCUAGUUGGUGAGGUAACGGCUCACCAAGGCGACGAUCAGUAGCUGGUCUGAGAGGAUGAUCAGCCAUACUGGGACUGAGACACGGCCCAGACUCCUACGGGAGGCAGCAGUGGGGAAUAUUGGACAAUGGGCGCAAGCCUGAUCCAGCCAUGCCGCGUGAGUGAUGAAGGCCUUAGGGUUGUAAAGCUCUUUUGUCCGGGAAGAUAAUGACUGUACCGGAAGAAUAAGCCCCGGCUAACUUCGUG
This 431-nucleotide ribosomal RNA is filed under the name uncultured bacterium. RNAcentral describes it as "partial 16S ribosomal RNA". It matches the Rfam family "Bacterial small subunit ribosomal RNA", at positions 29 to 507 of the family's 1533-position model. The record is from RNAcentral.